GACGAACGCUGGCGGCGUGCCUAAUACAUGCCAGUCGAGCGGACUGAAUGGGAGCUUGCUCUUGUUCGGUCAGCGGCGGACGGGUGAGUAACACGUGGGCAACCUGCCCGCAAGACCGGGAUAACUCCGGGAAACCGGAGCUAAUACCGGAUAACACCGAAGACCGCAUGGUCUUUGGUUGAAAGGCGGCGCAAGCUGCCACUUGCGGAUGGGCCCGCGGCGCAUUAGCUAGUUGGUGAGGUAACGGCUCACCAAGGCGACGAUGCGUAGCCGGCCUGAGAGGGUGACCGGCCACACUGGGACUGAGACACGGCCCAGACUCCUACGGGAGGCAGCAGUAGGGAAUCUUCCGCAAUGGGCGAAAGCCUGACGGAGCGACGCCGCGUGAGCGAAGAAGGCCGUCGGGUCGUAAAGCUCUGUUGUGAGGGACGAAGGAGCGCCGUUUGAAGAAGGCGGCGCGGUGACGGUACCUCACGAGGAAGCCCCGGCUAACUACGUG
This 499-nucleotide ribosomal RNA is filed under the name uncultured bacterium. RNAcentral describes it as "partial 16S ribosomal RNA". It matches the Rfam family "Bacterial small subunit ribosomal RNA", at positions 28 to 507 of the family's 1533-position model. The record is from RNAcentral.